GUCUAAUAACAAGAUGAAAAUUCUGAAUGUCCAGACCAGGCUCACAGAUGCCAAACACAUUAACUGGAGAGCCAUGCUGAACAACAGCUACCUCUACAUCGAGAUCCCAGAUGGUGGUCUGCCAGAGGGGAGCAAAGACAGCAUUGCAAUUCUUCUCAAGUUUGCAGAGGAGCAGCUGCACGUUGCCGCACAAGAACCAUGAUGACAGAACCGCUCUGCUCAGUACCUUCAGCUGUAUGGGCUUUGAGAUUGUGAGACCAAGGCAUCCCCCUUGUCCCCAAGAGACCCGAUACUUGCUUCAUUGCCAACACAUUUGAGAAAGUCUUCUAAAGAGGACGAGCAGCAGCUGCACCACCUGCACUCUCACCUUUGCCACCCCUGAGAGAUCAUUGUAGGUAGUAGCCCUUUUGUGUGUCUCGCUUUGUGCUGGUGGUGUAACCAACUGCUGCACUGGGGUACAAAUGCGAGGUCUGCUUCCCUCUUCUGGGUUUGUCUGCAUGUUGUAAUUAUGCAAAUAAAUGCUCAUUCCAAAUUAGCAGUGUAUUUCUUGAAGUUUUAAUAUUGUGUUUGUGAUACUGAAGUGUUUGCUUUAAUUCUAAAUAAAAAUUUAUAUUUUACUUUUUUAUUGCUGGUUUAAGGUGAUACAGAUUAUCCUUGUACUUCAAGCAGGAUUUUUUUAUUUGAAGUUUUGGAAAAAGUUUUAUGUCUUAACUUGGAAAGAUAGGCAUUAAUCUACCAUUCUUUUGCUUUCAAAAAAUCUGAAUAAAAAUGAUUACAUCUA
Molecule: long non-coding RNA, 781 nt
Organism: Pipistrellus kuhlii (Kuhl's pipistrelle)
Lineage: Eukaryota; Metazoa; Chordata; Mammalia; Chiroptera; Vespertilionidae
Exons: 2
Source: RefSeq, a predicted model, not a curated record